Molecule: long non-coding RNA, 1184 nt
Organism: Xiphophorus hellerii (green swordtail)
Lineage: Eukaryota; Metazoa; Chordata; Actinopteri; Cyprinodontiformes; Poeciliidae
Exons: 2
Source: RefSeq, a predicted model, not a curated record
GUUGGUUGAACCUUUUGAAGAUUUCCAGCACCCUUUCUGAACUUUAUGUUCAGAUUUAUUGCGGCUGGAUUCACUUUGGCAGUUCAAAACGCAGUCCUGGGUAGGGUGUGUGUGUGUGUGGGGGUGUGUGUGUGUGUGUUAGUGCGAUCGGGUGAAUGUGGCUCUAGUGUAAAACGAUUUGAGUGGUCAGUAUGCCUAGAAAAGCGCUUUAUAACUUCAGUGCUUUUAUCAAAGUCUGUCCAUUUAACCUUUCCCUCAGAUUGCAGCUCCAUGAUGACACCCGACGAGGCUCGGCCUGAUAGGAAAUUUCAAUUAUGUGAUAACCUCGAAACAAGUGAUUUUCUGUGUUUAACGGGCAAAGUGGAAGUUGUGCUCUACUAAAGCCCAUGUCUUGUUAUACGAAGCUAUAAAACUUAAGUGUUGGAGCUGAAGAGAAAGGCUGCAGUUUGCUUGGAAAGAAGCAGAAUAUUCCCGUCUGUCACCUCAGCAGCCACAGGAAAAACUCCUGAACGUUCAUCCUGGUGGUGGUCACACCCUGCUCCCUCUCUGCACCUUCAUCUCCUCCUGUGCACCUCCUCCUCCUCCUCCUCCUCCUUCCUUUUCUCCCCCCUCUCACCAUGUCACUUUCCGCGUCACAUUCUUAACGUAUUCUUUUCCAAAUAUUAGCUGUUAGCGUUUAGAAACGGCUUCAAUUUCCACUUUACCUUAGAUGCUUCGAUAAAUGUCUCCACAAGUUUUCUCACCAGGACAGAAACCAGUAGAAUGUAUAAUGUUUUUUGUUAAAAACUUAGAAAUAAUAAUAAUAAUAAUAAAAAAACACUUUUCGGGGGCUUAAUGUGGGUGUUAAAACAUGCAGAGAGCGUCUGCGCCUCAUCCAUCUGCAUGUCUCUGUUGGAUUGUGUCUCCCCUUGAAAUUAUUCUCUUUGUCUCUCGCUCUUUUGAGUUUAGUCUCGCUCACAUCUUACCCUUUGCUUCUUCACCCGACGCUCUCAUACAUACACAUUGCUUUUUAAUGUCACCCCUCGGGUAUAUAGUCUGCUGCAUACAGCAUGCAGUCUUUCCACCUGUCUGGAAACAGGAGCGCACGCGCUCUCCGCUGGCUUUUUCUUCUUGGCACCAGAAUUAGAUUGUUGGCUUUUGGAAGCUCGUCUUGCCAAUUACAACUUUCAGUUGAGUUUAAAAAA